RNAcentral lists this ribosomal RNA (253 nucleotides) under uncultured bacterium. RNAcentral describes it as "partial 16S ribosomal RNA". It matches the Rfam family "Bacterial small subunit ribosomal RNA", at positions 524 to 776 of the family's 1533-position model. The record is from RNAcentral.
UACGUAGGUGGCAAGCGUUGUCCGGAUUUAUUGGGUUUAAAGGGUGCGUAGGCGGCCUUAUAAGUCAGUGCUGAAAUAUCCCGGCUUAACCGGGAGGGUGGCAUUGAUACUGUAGGGCUUGAGUGUAGUCGAGGUAGGCGGAAUUGACGGUGUAGCGGUGAAAUGCUUAGAUAUCGUCAAGAACACCGAUAGUGUAGACAGCUUACUAGGCUACAACUGACGCUGAGGCACGAAAGUGUGGGGAUCAAACGGG